GCGCCCGUGGUCUAACGGAUAAGGCACGAGCCUUCGAAGCUCGCAGAUGGGGGUUCGAUUCCCUCCGGGCGCG
RNAcentral lists this transfer RNA (73 nucleotides) under Vulcanimicrobiota bacterium. RNAcentral's name for it is "tRNA-Arg". It matches the Rfam family "tRNA". Rfam says of the family: Transfer RNA (tRNA) molecules are approximately 80 nucleotides in length. Their secondary structure includes four short double-helical elements and three loops (D, anti-codon, and T loops). The record is from RNAcentral. Lineage: Bacteria; Bacillati; Vulcanimicrobiota.